Molecule: ribosomal RNA, 756 nt
Filed under: uncultured bacterium
Lineage: Bacteria
Description: bacterial SSU rRNA
Rfam family: Bacterial small subunit ribosomal RNA
Source: RNAcentral
AGAGUUUGAUCAUGGCUCAGAAUCAACGCUGGCGGCGUGCCUAACACAUGCAAGUCGCACGAGAAAGGGACUUCGGUCCUGAGUACAGUGGCGCACGGGUGAGUAACACGUGAAUCAUCUACCUUCGAGUGGGGAAUAACUGAGAGAAAUCUUAGCUAAUACCGCAUAAUACCUACGGGUCAAAGCAGCAAUGCGCUUGAAGAGGAGUUCGCGGCAGAUUAGUUAGUUGGCGGGGUAAUGGCCCACCAAGACGAUAAUCUGUAUCCGGCCUGAGAGGGCGCACGGACACACUGGAACUGAAACACGGUCCAGACUCCUACGGGAGGCAGCAGUGGGGAAUUUUGCGCAAUGGGGGAAACCCUGACGCAGCAACGCCGCGUGGAGGAUGAAAUCCCUUGGGAUGUAAACUCCUUUCGAUAGGGAAGAUAAUGACGGUACCUAUAGAAGAAGCCCCGGCUAACUUCGUGCCAGCAGCCGCGGUAAUACGAGGGGGGCAAGCGUUGUUCGGAAUUAUUGGGCGUAAAGGGUGCGUAGGCGGUUUGACAAGUCUUAUGUGAAAUCUAUGGGCUCAACCCAUAGUCUGCAUGGGAAACUGUCGGGCUUGAGUAUGGGAGAGGUGAGUGGAAUUUCCGGUGUAGCGGUGAAAUGCGUAGAUAUCGGAAGGAACACCUGUGGCGAAAGCGGCUCACUGGACCAUAACUGACGCUGAUGCACGAAAGCUAGGGGAGCAAACAGGAUUAGAUACCCUAGUAGUCC